GAUGAACGCUGGCGGCGUGCCUAAUACAUGCAAGUCGAGCGAACGGACGAGAAGCUUGCUUCUCUGAUGUUAGCGGCGGACGGGUGAGUAACACGUGGAUAACCUACCUAUAAGACUGGGAUAACUUCGGGAAACCGGAGCUAAUACCGGAUGAUAUUUUGAACCGCAUGGUUCAAAAGUGAAAGACGGUCUUGCUGUCACUUAUAGAUGGAUCCUCGCUGCAUUAGCUAGUUGGUAAGGUAACGGCUUACCAAGGCAACGAUGCAUAGCCGACCUGAGAGGGUGAUCGGCCACGCUGGAACUGAGACACGGUCCAGACUCCUACGGGAGGCAGCAGUAGGGAAUCUUCCGCAAUGGGCGAAAGCCUGACGGAGCAACGCCGCGUGAGUGAUGAAGGUCUUCGGAUCGUAAAACUCUGUUAUUAGGGAAGAACAUAUGUGUAAGUAACUGUGCACAUCUUGACGGUACCUAAUCAGAAAGCCACGGCUAACUACGUG
Molecule: ribosomal RNA, 497 nt
Filed under: uncultured bacterium
Lineage: Bacteria
Description: partial 16S ribosomal RNA
Rfam family: Bacterial small subunit ribosomal RNA
Source: RNAcentral